Molecule: long non-coding RNA, 272 nt
Organism: Asparagus officinalis (garden asparagus)
Lineage: Eukaryota; Viridiplantae; Streptophyta; Magnoliopsida; Asparagales; Asparagaceae
Exons: 3
Source: RefSeq, a predicted model, not a curated record
CGCGAGAGCGAUGGAAUCCCAGGCGAGCCCUCGGACGCCGUGGUGUUUGUCGGGAUCUCUCUCGUUCUCGGAAUCGCUUCAAGGCACGUGCUUCGGGGGGCUAGAGUUCCGUACACCGUCGCUCUUCUCAUCAUCGGCAUUGUCAUGGGAUCUCUAGAUGAGAUUUCUUGCACACAAGGUGUUUGAUAUAAUGCAUUGGUGAGAACAAAUGGUUUUAUUAGAGAGAAUGACUCAAUCUCAGGUGAAAACCCAGAGAUGAUUAGUUGUUCAGA